This 3008-nucleotide long non-coding RNA is filed under the name Cinara cedri. The record is from RNAcentral. Lineage: Eukaryota; Metazoa; Arthropoda; Insecta; Hemiptera; Aphididae.
CAAAGAUUUAAGAAUACUUCAAGGAAACCUUAAAUGUUAUAUAAUGUAUGGUCCAGAGAAAAAUAAUUAAUAGCUUAAGUUUUAUUUGUAAAUACUGUAGUGUACCUAGUUUAUAUGUCACUUAUAAACCACCGAAGGUUAUUUCUGCAUAAUCUUUUCUUUUGUAUGGGUUUAACGCAGCAAAACAUGGGCUUAUUAUAAUUAGACUAUACUUAGAAUGUAAAUAAAUUUUCCCUAAAUAUUUUUUUACAAAUUUAUACUAAACAUAUAAAUUCUGAAUGAUGAACUUUUUAACUUUAAACGUGCAUGACAAAUAAAUGUUUGCGAUUGAUUUAUUAAAUCAUACCAUCAAAUGAUUGUUUAAUAACUUUGACUAUUGUCACAAUGUAACUCCAUUGAAUUUUAAAUAGAUAAUUUAUUUUUUGGUUUUUUUUUUCUCUUUUUUAUUUCAUAAUAUAAUUUAUACAAAGUGUACUCUACAUAUAUAUUAGGAUUUAGAAAUUUUAAAUUAUGUAUCCAAACAAUAAAUAGUGUUAUAAUUAUUCCAAUUUAAAAACAUUGAUAAGACGUUAUCAUCAAAUCGUGCCCUCAAAAAAGUAUAAUCACGUCUAACCUACAAAUUAUAGUACUAUGGAAAAAAAAGAAAUUCUUUCUUUAUAAUCGUGACGACUAUCAUUUGUGUUACCAAUGAUUUACUGUUCUGUUUAAGAUUUUUCACAUUAUAUUACGUAUUAUUAUUAUAUUUUGUUAUUUAAUGUCGCGCUUUUUUAUAUAAAUCAAAUGUGAAAUUUAUUUUCUUGUGAUAAUAAAUGCACAUACGGAAUAAUGUACAAUUGAGUAUGAAGAAUACUACCCAGCUCUAAAUUAAAAAAAUACAUGAAGCUUACAGAGGUACGUUUUGAAAUUCAUCAUCUUGUUUUUGAACUCGUGACGUUUUGCAGAAGGGACUUGUGAAAAGUGUUCCUCGGACGAAUUACUCUUCGGCGUAGAAGGAUUCGACUAUUAAAUGGUAACUAUAUUUAAUUUAUACUAGAUUAUUUAAUUCUGGUUUUGUUUUCUGUAAAUUAGUUUAUAAUAUAAUUUAUAAAUUUUAUAUUAAUUUUUAUUCGGUGAAGAAAGAUUGGCCCAUUAAAUAGUUGGACAUACUCAAGAAAAGAUGAAGAGUUUGAUUAGAAGAAGUAAUCUUCAUCUUUUUUUGAGUAUGACCAAAGAUUUAAGAAUACUUCAAGGAAACCUUAAAUGUUAUAAGGUAUGUUUCAGAAAAAAAGAAUUAAUAGCUUAACUAUGAUUUACUAAUAAACCACCUAAGAUUAUUUCCGCAUAGUCUUUUCUGGUUUAAGGGUUAUGCGCAUCAAAACGGGGGCUUAUCAAAAUUACACUAUACUUAGAAUGUAAAUAAAUUCACGCUUUUAAUUUUUAUUUUUUUAAAUAUAUUUAAUAGAAAAAAAUACUGAGAGAUUUACUGUAUAUUCUUUACUCUGAAUCACAUAUAAUAUUUUUUGAUUAAAUUAUUAAAUGAUACUAACAUCUAGUUGUUUAAUUACCAUAAUUUAUAUCAUAAGGUAAAUAUGGUGAAUUUAUACUCGAAAUUUUUCUGUAAAUUAGUUUAAAUAUUAUUUAUAAAUUUUGUAAUAUUUUCUCUUCAGGGUAGAAAGAUUGGCCCGUUAAAUGGUUGGACAUACUCAAGAAAAGAUGGAGAGUUUGAUUAAAAGAAGUAAUCUUCAUCUUUUUUUGAGUAUGACCAAAGAUUUAAGAAUACUUCAAGGAAACCUUAAAUGUUAUAAGGUAUGUUUCAGAAAAAAAGAAUUAAUAGCUUAACUAUAGUUACUAAGUUCAAUAGAAUGUAGUUUAUGAUUUACUAAUAAACCACCUAAGAUUAUUUCCGCAUAGUCUUUUCUGGUUUAAGGGUUAUGCGCAGCAAAUGGGGGCUUAUCAAAAUUACACUAUACUUAGAAUGUAAAUAAAUUUACGCUUUUAAUUUUUAUUUUUUUAAAUAUAUUUAAUAGAAAAAAAUACUGAGAGAUUUAAUGUGUAUUUUUUACUCUGCAUCACAAAUAAUAUUUUUUGAUUAAAUUAUUAAAUGACACUAACAUCUGUUUGUUUAAUUACCAUAAUUUAUAUCAUAAGGUAAAUAUAUUGAAUUUAUACUCGAAAUUUUUCUGUAAAUUAGUUAAUAAUAUUAUUUAUAAAUUUUGUAAUAUUUUCUCUUCAGGGUAGAAAGAUUGGCCCGUUAAAUGGUUGGACAUACUCAAGAAAAGAUGGAGAGUUUGAUUAAAAGAAGUAAUCUUCAUCUUUUUUUGAGUAUGACCAAAGAUUUAAGAAUACUUCAAGGAAACCUUAAAUGUUAUAAGGUAUGUUUCAGAAAAAAAGAAUUAAUAGCUUAACUAUAGUUACUAAGUUCAAUAGAAUGUAGUUUAUGAUUUACUAAUAAACCACCUAAGAUUAUUUCCGCAUAGUCUUUUCUGGUUUAAGGGUUAUGCGCAGCAAAACGGGGGCUUAUCAAAAUUACACUAUACUAAGAAUGUAAAUAAAUUUAUGCUUUUAAUUUUUAUUUUUUUAAUUAUAUUUAAUAGAAAAAAAUACUGAGAUAUUUAAUGUAUAUUCUUUACUCUGAAUCACAAAUAAUAUUUUUUGAUUAAGUUAUUAAAUGACANUUUACUAAUAAACCACCUAAGAUUAUUUCCGCAUAGUCUUUUCUGGUUUAAGGGUUAUGCGCAGCAAAACGGGGGCUUAUUAAAAUUACACUAUACUUAGAAUGUAAAUAAAUUCAAGCUUUCAAUUUUUAUUUUUUUAAAUAUAUUUAAUAGAAAAAAAUACUGAGAGAAGUAAUGUGUAUUUUUUACUCUGCAUUACAAAUAAUAUUAUUUGAUUAAAUUAUUAAUGACACUAACAUCUGAUUGUUUAAUUAUCUUAAUUUAUAUCAUAAGGUAAAUAUAUUGAAUUUAUACUCGAAAUUUUUCUGUAAAUUAGUUAAUAAUAUUAUUUAUAAAUUUUGUAAUAUUUUCUCU